RNAcentral lists this ribosomal RNA (391 nucleotides) under uncultured Prevotella sp. RNAcentral's name for it is "bacterial SSU rRNA". It matches the Rfam family "Bacterial small subunit ribosomal RNA", at positions 355 to 743 of the family's 1533-position model. Lineage: Bacteria; Pseudomonadati; Bacteroidota; Bacteroidia; Bacteroidales; Prevotellaceae. The record is from RNAcentral.
UGAGGAAUAUUGGUCAAUGGGCGAGAGCCUGAACCAGCCAAGUAGCGUGCAGGACGACGGCCCUAUGGGUUGUAAACUGCUUUUAUAAGGGAAUAAAGUGGGUCACGUGUGACUUUUUGCAUGUACCUUAUGAAUAAGGACCGGCUAAUUCCGUGCCAGCAGCCGCGGUAAUACGGAAGGUCCGGGCGUUAUCCGGAUUUAUUGGGUUUAAAGGGAGCGCAGGCCGUAUGGUAAGCGUGUUGUGAAAUGUAGGUGCUCAACAUCUGCACUGCAGCGCGAACUGGUUUCCUUGAGUACGCGCAAAGUGGGCGGAAUUCGUGGUGUAGCGGUGAAAUGCUUAGAUAUCACGAAGAACUCCGAUUGCGAAGGCAGCUCACUGGAGCGCAACUGA